CAAGGUAAAUACUUUGGAGAAUAAGUGGUGGGUAAGACUGGUGCCAGCCGCCGCGGUAACCCCAGCGCCACAAGUGGGGAUCGGUUUAUUUGGUCUAAAGCGUCCGUAGCAGGUCUUGUAAAUUUUUGUGAAUUUGUUGUGCUUAACACAACACACUGCAGAAAAGACUGUAAGACUUGGAACUGGGAGGAGUAAGCAGUAUUCUCGGGGGAGCGGUAAAAUGUUAUAAUCCCGAGAGGACUACCUGUGCCGAAGGGGGCUUACUAAUACAGAUUCGACUGUGAGGGACGAAAGCUAGGGGAGCGAAAAGGAUUAGAUACCCUUGUAGUCCUAGCCGUAAACACUGUGAACUAGAUAUGGCAUAAACUUCGUGUUUGUGCAGUAUCGAAACGAAGGUGCAAGUUCACCACCUGGGAAGUAUGGUCGCAAGGCUGAAACUUAAAGGAAUUGGCGGGGGAGCACUACAAGGGGUGCGGCGUGCGGUUUAAUUGAAUUCAACGCCGGAAAUCUCACCAGGAGCGACGGCAGGAUGAAAGUCAGUCUAAAGGGCUUACUUGACGAGCCGAGAGGUAUUGCAUGGCCGCCGUCAGCUCGUGCCGUAAGGUGUCCUCUUAAGUGAGGCAACGAGCGAGACCUGUGUUUUUAAUUGAAAACGACGUGUUAACGGAUUGUUCACAUUAAAGAGACUGCCGUGGUAACACGGAGGAAGGUGCAGGCAACGGUAGGUCCGUAUGGUCCGGAUCCCCUGGGCUACACGCGCGCAACAAUGGCUGGAACAAUGGGAUGCAACUCCGAAAGGAGAAGCUAAGCCUCUAAAUCCAGUCUUAGUACGAAUUGAGGU
This 841-nucleotide ribosomal RNA is filed under the name uncultured euryarchaeote. RNAcentral describes it as "bacterial SSU rRNA". It matches the Rfam family "Archaeal small subunit ribosomal RNA", at positions 415 to 1260 of the family's 1478-position model. The record is from RNAcentral. Lineage: Archaea; Methanobacteriati; Methanobacteriota.